This is an RNA transcript of Bactrocera dorsalis (oriental fruit fly), 1536 nucleotides long. It is a transcript of the gene named odorant receptor 7a-like, with no coding region annotated. Lineage: Eukaryota; Metazoa; Arthropoda; Insecta; Diptera; Tephritidae. The transcript has 3 exons. The record is from RefSeq and is a predicted model, not a curated record.
AGAAUCUGGUUUUACUUCAACUGAGUAGUUUUAAGAGCGAUUUUACAAGAGGAUAUCUAUACAUUUACAUAUAUAUAUCUUACUAUCAUUGCAGAGAGCCAGAGGACACUAGGAAUAUGCGCAAACUUACCGAUUUAUUAUAUGGGCGUGGCGCUACGAAGUUCGAGACCAAUGAAUCGUUCCAGCUGUUAUUUCAAUGUUGGUCUCUGGUUGGUAUUAAGCCGUUAAAAUUGUACAGAUUGCGAGGCAUGCUGCACAUGUGCUUCUGCUGGGCUUUACUGCUCCUGUGUCCGUUUACCUUCUUCAUGGGUUACCUGCAUACAUUGGAAACUGAACCUAUAACUGUUCAACUAAACAUUUUGCAAGCAAUAUGCAAUAUUAUUGGACUGCCACUCAAGGCGAUUGCCAUUACUUUGCUCGUUUGGAUGCACGCUACCAGAGCGUCGCGAGUCGCGAGCAGAUAAAAAAUUGUGUUGUCGUUAGCACACGUCUGCUCGCCAGCGUAGGGUUUAUGUUUCAUUUUUACGGCAGCACCGCAUAUCUUCAAGCUCUUCUCACAAGAGGUUAUCCUAUGGGCGAAUGGUUGCCGUUCAUUGAUUAUAUUCCUCGGCUAACCAUAAGAUAUUGGGCGCAUUUCAUCUUCGAAGUUUUUCACGUGACUUUCCUAUUGACGGUGCAAGCCUCAAUGGAUGCGUUUCCGGCAGUUUAUAUACGAAGUUUACGCACACACCUAAAACUGUUGACGGAACGCGUCAGUCAUUUGGGCGAGAAUCCAGAGUUUACUGAUGAACAGAACUAUGAAGAAUUAGUGGAUUGUAUUGUUACGCAUCAGGAAUUGUUGGAGGCGAAAAAUAUCCUUGGGUCCGUCUGCUCGCUAACACUAUUUGUUCAGUUUGUUGUUGUUGCCGCAGCUCUCUGUGUUUCUAUGCUAAAUUGUUUCGUGUUUGCCGAUCGCCAACAACAGGUGGUGACGGCAAUCUAUUAUUUCGGCGUUAUAAUGCAGAUCAUGCCUACUUGCUAUCAAGCAUCAAUGAUAGAAGCUGACAGCGCCAAGUUGCCUGAUGCCAUUUUCCAUAGUAAUUGGUUGGCCAUGGACAAGCGUUCCCGCAAGCUCAUCGUCUACUUCAUACAUCGUGCUCAGAAGAACAUUACCUUUGUUGCACUCAAAUUCUUCAACAUCAAUCUGACAACUAACCUGUCGAUUGUCAAAUUUGCGUUUUUAUUAUACACAUGGAUGAGCAACAUGGGCUUUGGGGACAAUUUUAAGGAUUUAUUGGAGUAAACAGGCGUGUUGUCAGCAAACUAGCGAUAACCGACAACGCCAAGUUGUGCUGGGGCUUGGAUGAUGUUGAUAUUUGAUAAAAGUCGGAAUUGGCUUACUGGUAUUAUCCACUCAUAUUAGACAUUGGAAAUAGCGUUUGUCUGGGACCGAUGCCCUAUUUAAUUUAUUUAUAAUAAUUUAUUGAACUUAUAAUAACACUGAUUGAAUAUUUAUGGCAUUCUAAGUAGAACAAAAUACACACAUUUGCAACAAAA